UACGAAGGGGGCUAGCGUUGUUCGGAAUCACUGGGCGUAAAGGGCGCGUAGGCGGCUUUAUAAGUCGGUGGUGAAAGCCUGUGGCUCAACCACAGAAUUGCCUUCGAUACUGUAGAGCUUGAGACCGGAAGAGGUAAGUGGAACUGCGAGUGUAGAGGUGAAAUUCGUAGAUAUUCGCAAGAACACCAGUGGCGAAGGCGGCUUACUGGUCCGGUUCUGACGCUGAGGCGCGAAAGCGUGGGGAGCAAACAGG
RNAcentral lists this ribosomal RNA (253 nucleotides) under uncultured bacterium. RNAcentral describes it as "partial 16S ribosomal RNA". It matches the Rfam family "Bacterial small subunit ribosomal RNA", at positions 524 to 776 of the family's 1533-position model. The record is from RNAcentral.